RNAcentral lists this ribosomal RNA (253 nucleotides) under uncultured bacterium. Its description in RNAcentral is "partial 16S ribosomal RNA". It matches the Rfam family "Bacterial small subunit ribosomal RNA", at positions 524 to 776 of the family's 1533-position model. The record is from RNAcentral.
GACGUAGGGGGCCAGCGUUGUUCGGAAUUACUGGGUGUAAAGGGUUCGUAGGCGGUGCGGCAAGUCGGGAGUGAAAUCUCUGGGCUUAACCCAGAGGCUGCUUCCGAAACUGCUGUGCUUGAGUGUGGGAGAGGCGCGUGGAAUCGCAGGUGUAGCGGUGAAAUGCGUAGAUAUCUGCAGGAACACCCGUGGCGAAAGCGGCGCGCUGGACCACUACUGACGCUGAGGAACGAAAGCUAGGGGAGCAAACAGG